RNAcentral lists this ribosomal RNA (234 nucleotides) under uncultured bacterium. Its description in RNAcentral is "partial 16S ribosomal RNA". It matches the Rfam family "Bacterial small subunit ribosomal RNA", at positions 118 to 340 of the family's 1533-position model. The record is from RNAcentral.
UGGGUAACCUGCCUCAAUGAGGGGAAUAGCCUCCCGAAAGGGAGAUUAAUACCGCAUAAUAUGUUUAGAUCGCAUGAUCUUAACAUCAAAGGAAUUUCUUCGGAGAUUCCACUUUGAGGUGGACCCGCGGCGCAUUAGCUAGUUGGUGAGGUAACGGCUCACCAAGACAACGAUGCGUAGCCGACCUGAGAGGGUGAUCGGCCACAUUGGAACUGAGACACGGUCCAGACUCCG